This 355-nucleotide unclassified non-coding RNA is filed under the name soil metagenome. RNAcentral's name for it is "partial contains 5.8S ribosomal RNA, internal transcribed spacer 2, and large subunit ribosomal RNA". The stretch from base 1 to 120 matches the Rfam family "5.8S ribosomal RNA", at positions 35 to 154 of the family's 154-position model. The record is from RNAcentral.
GAUGAAGAACGCGGUGAAAUGCGAUAAGUAAUGUGAAUUGCAGAAUUCAGUGAAUCAUCGAAUCUUUGAACGCACAUUGCGCCCAUUAGUAUUCUAGUGGGCAUGCCUGUUCGAGCGUCAUUAAGUCCACUUAAGCCCUGCUUAGUGUUGGGAGACUGCUCCAGCGGUGCUACCCUGUAGCUACCCUGCAGCUCCUCAAAGACAGCGGCGGAGUUGUGGUAUCCUCUGAGCUUAGUAACUUGUUCUAGCUUUCGAGUACACCACUUCCCCUGCCGUAAAACCCUUAAUUUUUAAUGGUUGACCUCGGAUCAGGUAGGAAUACCCGCUGAACUUAAGCAUAUCAAUAAGCGGAGGA